Molecule: long non-coding RNA, 562 nt
Filed under: Homo sapiens (human)
Lineage: Eukaryota; Metazoa; Chordata; Mammalia; Primates; Hominidae
Description: MEIKIN and ACSL6 antisense RNA 1 (MEIKIN-AS1)
Source: RNAcentral
AGAAAAUUCACCAAUUAUGGACGUUUCUCCAAAAACGUGUCAAGAGAAAGAGAAAAACAAAAAUGCAUGACUAUGAAUCUACCCAAGUCAGAAAUUCAAGGCCCUGUCUAAAGACACAUCCUGAAUCAAACCAUAUGAGAAAAAUUACAAGACAAGAACACAUUUCAAAAUGGAGGUAGAGGAAACAACACUUUUGGGUAAAGUACAACUGAUGAUUGUGCCAACAUGUGCUAACCCACAGCCCGCAACUGAGGCUGAUACUCCCUGGCAACACUCCAAUUACCACCUCUCAUCUGGCAAGCCCAGUAGUUCAGUUCCUCAACAUCAACGAGCUUGAUAUGAUUGCAGGGAAGUGGCGCCCCUACGUGCCCUGGAACACCGGAGCAAGAUGGCAUUUGUUAGUGUUCAGAUCUGUUUUAGCACUGAAGAUGUUCCAAGCCCCUUAAAAUCUCUGAGUGGCCAAAGUGGGGAAUUAUGGAUGGAAAGUAACACAUCUUUAAAGGGGCAUUUGUUACUGCAAGUGUUGGUAAUAAAACAAAGUGCUGGAGAAAGCAAAGGCCAA